UGGGGAAUUUUGGACAAUGGGGGCAACCCUGAUCCAGCCAUGCCGCGUGAGUGAAGAAGGCCUUCGGGUUGUAAAGCUCUUUCGGCCGGGAAGAAAUCGCAUCUCCUAAUACGGGGUGUGGAUGACGGUACUGGAAGAAGAAGCACCGGCUAACUACGUGCCAGCAGCCGCGGUAAUACGUAGGGUGCGAGCGUUAAUCGGAAUUACUGGGCGUAAAGCGUGCGCAGGCGGCGCCAUAAGACAGCUGUGAAAUCCCCGGGCUUAACCUGGGAACUGCGGUUGUGACUGUGGUGCUUGAGUGCGGCAGAGGGGGGUGGAAUUCCACGUGUAGCAGUGAAAUGCGUAGAGAUGUGGAGGAACACCGAUGGCGAAGGCAGCCCCCUGGGUCGACACUGACGCUCA
RNAcentral lists this ribosomal RNA (402 nucleotides) under uncultured bacterium. Its description in RNAcentral is "bacterial SSU rRNA". It matches the Rfam family "Bacterial small subunit ribosomal RNA", at positions 355 to 749 of the family's 1533-position model. The record is from RNAcentral.